AUACGCAUCCUUUGCUGAGGAUACGGUUAACGGAGCGAAAGCGACGUUCAACCGCAAAAGAAGCAGAGGGGGCUUAGUGGUGGGGUGACUGCGUACCUUUUGUAUAAUGGGUCAGCGACUUAUAUUCUGUAGCAAGGUUAACCGAAUAGGGGAGCCGGAGGGAAACCGAGUCUUAACCGGGCGUUAAGUUGCAGGGUAUAGACCCGAAACCCGGUGAUCUAGCCAUGGGCAGGUUGAAGGUUGGGUAACACUAACUGGAGGACCGAACCGACUAAUGUUGAAAAAUUAGCGGAUGACCUGUGGCUGGGGGUGAAAGGCCAAUCAAACCGGGAGAUAGCUGGUUCUCCCCGAAAGCUAUUUAGGUAGCGCCUCGUGAAUUCAUCUCCGGGGGUAGAGCACUGUUUCGGCUAGGGGGCCAUCCCGGCUUACCAACCCGAUGCAAACUGCGAAUACCGGAGAAUGUUAUCACGGGAGACACACGGCGGGUGCUAACGUCCGUCGUGAAGAGGGAAACAACCCAGACCGCCAGCUAAGGUCCCAAAGUCAUGGUUAAGUGGGAAACGAUGUGGGAAGGCCCAGACAGCCAGGAUGUUGGCUUAGAAGCAGCCAUCAUUUAAAGAAAGCGUAAUAGCUCACUGGUCGAGUCGGCCUGCGCGGAAGAUGUAACGGGGCUAAACCAUGCACCGAAGCUGCGGCAGCGAACGUAUCACUUAAAGCGAUUCAGCGGGUUACGAUUGACGGAGCGAAGCGACGUCAAAGCGUAUACAAAGUCGAGUCGGUUUAAGGAUACGUUCGUUGGGUAGGGGAGC
Molecule: ribosomal RNA, 809 nt
Filed under: Salmonella enterica
Lineage: Bacteria; Pseudomonadati; Pseudomonadota; Gammaproteobacteria; Enterobacterales; Enterobacteriaceae
Also listed under: 1 other name
Description: bacterial LSU rRNA
Rfam family: Bacterial large subunit ribosomal RNA
Source: RNAcentral